UGAGCAAGUGGGAUAAGAAGAGAGACCUGUGUAGAACAUAGGAAGCACGUAUUGUUUGCUAUCAAGUGCCAAGACUUCCAAAUGAAGAUUCAGGCUUGAAUUAUGUCUACUUGAAAUAUUUGAAGAUAUUUUCCUACCUGCCUGAGAGUUCCCCUCAGUCCUGGGUGUUCUCUUCUGUGCCCUCACAGGCUUUCAGACAUGCUGGGAGUAGUAACCUUCUAAAUGACUGUGCAAAAACUUGAAAGGAAGUUGUAAGCAAGAGACGCAUAAAACUUCAGGAGUAAGUGAAACUCUGAAUGCUGUCAAUAAAACUAAAUAACCUGGUGAAGAACUUUAAAUGCUACAAAACACUGACACGAUGAAGAACAUCUGAUUAUAAGUCAGCUGUGGUGAUUAGCAUCGACGUUGGAGCAUCUUGCUUAGCCCAAUUCAGAGAUGAGCCAUCACAAUGGAAAACUGCAUGCAUUCUUGCAUCAGUAUGGAUCAUGAAGUUUCAUGGUGGUGCUUUUCUUUCUCCUGGAUUGUAUGGAUAAAUUUUCCAGCAACCAAGCAACACACAGAGUAACAUCUCAUCCUGCACUUCCAUUUUGGCUUAAUACACGUAUGUGAAGUGUUUGCAUUGGUGUUUCUGUUUGUAGCUUGAAACGCAAAAACUUAAAUAUAUAUAAACAGUAAAUUAUUUGUUAGUAUUAGUCUUAAAAAUUGCAAUUCCUCUGAAUAGCAAAACUUCUGUCAUUUCAAAUUCAUUUAAUAAAACAUUGAGGCUAAAUGUGGACAAUCUAUGCCACUGCCAUUCUAGAAAUUGAAACUUUGGCCUUUAUUAGCUCUGACCAGAUAUGUGGUCAACAGACAAGAAAUAAUAAUAAAAUGCACUACUCUAAAUUGUCCCCUUGAUUUAUUUAUUUAUUUUUAUUAUGUGUUAUGGUCUCCUGGAAAGAUCUUGUGUACUUUCUUCUGUCUUUGGGAAACUGUAUAGUAGACAAAAUUAUGUCAGGACUGUUUUCAUGAUUGAUGUGUAAAGUGCUAACUUUGAGAACCCAAAAAAAACCAACCUUUUGGGAUCCCAAAAUGAUUUUUCUGUGUACACACAUGAAUGCAUUCUUUCAUACAAGCUAGCAUUUGGAGGAAGUCUGGAAGCUUGUAUUAUUUCUUUUGUUUCUGUAAUAAAGGGCUGUGACAUUUAAAUAUACAGAUUACUUGUUUAGUAACCUAAAAUAGUGAUAGUCUUAAGCCUGGGUUUAAUAGCUAAUCAGGCUUAAUUAAGCCUGGACAUCAAAAGAAAGAUGCUGUAUUCAAAAUAAUAGAUAAACAACCCAUAUGCACAAAGUAGUGGUAAGUUCUGGAGCUACUCAGUGGAUGUUGCUUAGUAAUUUUAGAGGAAACAUUUUGCUCACUUUUUGGAAUAAGUCAGUUAAAGAAAUGUAAUGGUGUUAAGACUAUGACAAAUUUAGGGUUGUCUUUGAGGUAUGUAAAAGCUGCUUGUGAUGCAGCUGGAUAGGUUUAUGAGGAUCUUGGAGAUUAAUUCAAAUAAAAGAAAGAUUGUACAACAUUCUCUUGGCCCUAAGUAAUGGAUUAUGUGUAGAAAAUGUAAUGGUGCUGCAACAACAAAUAGAUCAACUGAGAGAACACCCUUUGCCUGAAGUGUCUUUAAAACUGUGAGUGUGAAGUUGGAUGAUGAAUUGAAUAAUCUACUUCAAAGGACAGAUAUAUAGUAUCUGAAUAUGAAAAAGCAUAAGUGCAUGAGAGCAUGUCACAGCCAUAUGUAGUGCUGGCUGCUCACAGUGAUAAACAGUUUACUAUUGUCUUUGCCACCAACAGACUAUGUCAAUUUAAAGUCUGAUGCUUCUUCUGUCUUAUUUAUUGGAGUCUGUAUACAGUAUAACAUUUUGCAAUGCCAAUUGCUUAAGAAUAACCCCCCAGAA
Anas platyrhynchos (mallard) is the source of this 1922-nucleotide long non-coding RNA. RefSeq lists it as uncharacterized. The record is from RefSeq and is a predicted model, not a curated record. Lineage: Eukaryota; Metazoa; Chordata; Aves; Anseriformes; Anatidae.